Molecule: long non-coding RNA, 1361 nt
Organism: Bactrocera tryoni
Lineage: Eukaryota; Metazoa; Arthropoda; Insecta; Diptera; Tephritidae
Exons: 3
Source: RefSeq, a predicted model, not a curated record
AAAACCAAACUCUAUAAAUCACUAAUUAUUCCCGUCCUGGUAUAUGGUGCAGAGGCAUGGACGAUGACAACAUCUGGGGGGUUACUCUGUAAGGCGUUACGAAUAGCAAUGCGUUGCGAAAGUGAAUUGCGUUGCGAAGGAAAAUCGGUACUCUGUAACACUUUCGCAUUGUAAACAGUGUUGCACUGCUUUCACGUUGACAAAUUUCCAGUAUAGUUGACAUUACUGACCGAAACGAAGGAGAAUGAAAACAAAAUCAAUAACAGAAAAGUGAAGAAGUGUAGAAAAUUGACAGAUAAACAUGAAAUUAAAUUUGAAGAGUUUUAUAAAUAUAUAAAAGUAAUUUUAAAUAAAUAAAAAAAGUGUGAAUAUGGAUUGCGUUGUGUUGUGGGAGGAAACGAACGAACGAAAUGAACGAGUGGAGCGGAAAUGAUUAAAGACAAGUCCAAUGUGAUGAGUCUUAGUGAAAAAAGGCAAGUUUGAAUGAUAAAGUGUAAUGCAAUUCUUUAAUUUUGUUUGUGCUUUUACUCGUAAAUAGUUUCGUGCAAAAUUUUCGCCUAGGUAAGGAAUCAUUCAAAUAUGUGUUGGACAGCAUAAGUAGUGAGCUAAAAACUCCACGCAAGUCGACAGUAAUACCCGAAAUUGUGAAAUUAGCGGCCACUUUAAAAUUUUUGGCGCAGGGAGGGUAUCAACAGCAAAAUGGACAAGAUCACCACACAGGACUAGCUCAACAAACUGUUUCCCAUUGUGUGUUUGAAGUUUGCAAAGCGAUUGAGAAAGUGUUGUGUCCAAAACACAUAACUUUUGCAAUGACUUCAGAGGAGAAAAAUGAAGCGAAACGAGCCUUUUACUCAGUGUCUGGAAUUCCAGGAGUAAUUGGAGUGGUGGAUGGUACUCACAUCCAAAUGAUACGACCGGCAGUAAAUGAACAUUUAAAUUUUAAUAGGAAAUUAAAACAUAGUACAAACGCUAUGGUGAUAUGUGAUCAUAAGAUGAUGAUCAAAGCCGUUAACGGUCGAUUUGCUGGGGCGUGUCAUGAUUCACAUGUGUGGAAUUUGUCAAGCGAGCGCCAAUAUUUACAAACCAACUAAGUGAAUGGAGAAAUAGGAAUUCGCAUUCUGGGCGAUUCUGGUUUACCGCUUGAGCCAUGGCUUUUAACUCCAUAUAGAAAUGCUGCUGAAAACUCUGCGGAAAGUUACUACAACUACAAAUUUUCAAAAGCCAGAUCCCUUAUCGAACGAGUAUUUGGAGUAUUAAAAGCGCGGUUCCGAUGCCUUUUAGCUGCUAGAGAACUGCAUUAUCUUCUUCUUCUUCUUAAUUGGUGUAGACACCGCUUACGCGAUUAUAGCCGAGUUAACAAC